RNAcentral lists this ribosomal RNA (485 nucleotides) under uncultured bacterium. RNAcentral describes it as "partial 16S ribosomal RNA". It matches the Rfam family "Bacterial small subunit ribosomal RNA", at positions 30 to 507 of the family's 1533-position model. The record is from RNAcentral.
AUUGAACGCUGGCGGCAGGCUUAACACAUGCAAGUCGAGCGGGGAAAGGUAGCUUGCUACCUGACCUAGCGGCGGACGGGUGAGUAAUGCCUAGGAAUCUGCCUAUUAGUGGGGGACAACAUCUCGAAAGGGAUGCUAAUACCGCAUACGUCCUACGGGAGAAAGCAGGGGACCUUCGGGCCUUGCGCUAAUAGAUGAGCCUAAGUCGGAUUAGCUAGUUGGUGGGGUAAAGGCCUACCAAGGCGACGAUCUGUAGCGGGUCUGAGAGGAUGAUCCGCCACACUGGGACUGAGACACGGCCCAGACUCCUACGGGAGGCAGCAGUGGGGAAUAUUGGACAAUGGGGGGAACCCUGAUCCGGCCAUGCCGCGUGUGUGAAGAAGGCCUUUUGGUUGUAAAGCACUUUAAGCGAGGAGGAGGCUACCGAGAUUAAUACUCUUGGAUAGUGGACGUUACUCGCAGAAUAAGCACCGGCUAACUCUGUG